GAAUAUCCUCCUCCACUGCUACCUCCACUUGAGUAUCCCCCACUUGGAGCAUGUGAGAAUGAUGGAGCUGGUGGUGGUGGUCCACCGUAUGAUGGCGCCGGGAGAGAUACUGGAGCUGAUGCGAAUCCUCCACUUCCUCCUGAAGCGUAUCCACCGCCUCCUCCGCCGCCACCGCCUCCACAUCCGCCACCUGA
Molecule: non-coding RNA, 194 nt
Organism: Caenorhabditis elegans
Lineage: Eukaryota; Metazoa; Nematoda; Chromadorea; Rhabditida; Rhabditidae
Source: Ensembl